Molecule: ribosomal RNA, 870 nt
Filed under: Salmonella enterica subsp. enterica serovar Infantis
Lineage: Bacteria; Pseudomonadati; Pseudomonadota; Gammaproteobacteria; Enterobacterales; Enterobacteriaceae
Description: partial 23S ribosomal RNA
Rfam family: Bacterial large subunit ribosomal RNA
Source: RNAcentral
GCAGUGUACCCGCGGCAAGACGGAAAGACCCCGUGAACCUUUACUAUAGCUUGACACUGAACAUUGAGCCUUGAUGUGUAGGAUAGGUGGGAGGCUUUGAAGCGUGGACGCCAGUCUGCGUGGAGCCGACCUUGAAAUACCACCCUUUAAUGUUUGAUGUUCUAACGUGGAUCCGUAAUCCGGGUUGCGGACAGUGUCUGGUGGGUAGUUUGACUGGGGCGGUCUCCUCCUAAAGAGUAACGGAGGAGCACGAAGGUUGGCUAAUCCUGGUCGGACAUCAGGAGGUUAGUGCAAUGGCAUAAGCCAGCUUGACUGCGAGCGUGACGGCGCGAGCAGGUGCGAAAGCAGGUCAUAGUGAUCCGGUGGUUCUGAAUGGAAGGGCCAUCGCUCAACGGAUAAAAGGUACUCCGGGGAUAACAGGCUGAUACCGCCCAAGAGUUCAUAUCGACGGCGGUGUUUGGCACCUCGAUGUCGGCUCAUCACAUCCUGGGGCUGAAGUAGGUCCCAAGGGUAUGGCUGUUCGCCAUUUAAAGUGGUACGCGAGCUGGGUUUAGAACGUCGUGAGACAGUUCGGUCCCUAUCUGCCGUGGGCGCUGGAGAACUGAGGGGGGCUGCUCCUAGUACGAGAGGACCGGAGUGGACGCAUCACUGGUGUUCGGGUUGUCAUGCCAAUGGCACUGCCCGGUAGCUAAAUGCGGAAGAGAUAAGUGCUGAAAGCAUCUAAGCACGAAACUUGCCCCGAGAUGAGUUCUCCCUGAGACUUAAAGUCUCCUGAAGGAACGUUGAAGACGACGACGUUGAUAGGCCGGGUGUGUAAGCGCAGCGAUGCGUUGAGCUAACCGGUACUAAUGAACCGUGAGGCUUAACCUU